Molecule: ribosomal RNA, 293 nt
Filed under: uncultured bacterium
Lineage: Bacteria
Description: partial 16S ribosomal RNA
Rfam family: Archaeal small subunit ribosomal RNA
Source: RNAcentral
GUGCCAGCCGCCGCGGUAAUACCGGCAGCCCGAGUGAUGGCCGGUAUUAUUGGGCCUAAAGCGUCCGUAGCUGGCCGCACAAGUCCGUCGGGAAAUCCACGUGCUCAACGCGUGGGCGACCGACGGAAACUGCACAGCUUGGGACCGGAAGGCUCGAAGGGUACGUUCGGGGUAGGAGUGAAAUCCUGUAAUCCCGCACGGACCACCGAUGGCGAAAGCACUUCGAGAAAACGGAUCCGACAGUGAGGGACGAAAGCCAGGGUCUCCAACCGGAUUAGAAACCCGGGUAGUCC